UUGUUGUUGUUGUUGUUGUCCAAUGUUUACUCUUUGUUUGUGUUGUUGUUGUUUUAUAGGUCUAACACAACCAUAAUAGCAACCAAGUUUACAACAUUUUUUGCCUGCACGACAUGAUGAAUCAUUCUGGCAGUUUCUGUUCAACUUCCCAUAACAAUUCGGAAAUAUGUCUCUUGGACACUUUGAGGUUGAAGUCGCUGGAAAGAAAACAUAUUCCCGAAUUGUAUGGGAAGUUGAACAGAAACUGCCAGAAUGAUUCAUCAUGUCGUGCAGGCAAAAAAUGUUGUAAACUUGGUUGCUAUUAUGGUUGUGUUAGACCUAUAAAACAACAACAACACAAACAAAGAGUAAACAUUGGACAACAACAACAACAACAA
RNAcentral lists this long non-coding RNA (377 nucleotides) under Mytilus galloprovincialis (Mediterranean mussel). Lineage: Eukaryota; Metazoa; Mollusca; Bivalvia; Mytilida; Mytilidae. The record is from RNAcentral.